AAAGAGUUCUAUAACUCCCAAACCCAUGUGAACAUACCUAACGUUGCCUCGGCAGGUCGCACCUACCUUGUAGCACCCUACCCUGUAGGGCCUACCCGGGAGAUGCGGGUAAGCCUGCCGGCGGCCCACCAAACUCUGUUUGAUAUUGAAUUCUGAACAUAUAACUAAAUAAGUUAAAACUUUCAACAACGGAUCUCUUGGUUCUGGCAUCGAUGAAGAACGCAGCGAAAUGCGAUAAGUAAUGUGAAUUGCAGAAUUCAGUGAAUCAUCGAAUCUUUGAACGCAUAUUGCGCCCAUUAGUAUUCUAGUGGGCAGGACCGUUCGAGCGUCAUUUCGACCCUUAAGCCUUAGUUGCUUAGUGUUGGGAGCCUACGGCAACGUAGCUCCUCAAAGUUAGUGGCGGAGUUGGUUCACACUCUAGACGUAGUAAUUUUUUAUCUCGCCUAUUAGUUGGACUGAUCCCCUGCCGUAAAACCCCCAACUUAUCAAGGUUGACCUCGAAUCGGUUCAGACAAACUCGCUAAAUUGAAGCAUCUUAGUCAGCGAAGGAAAAGAAACCAACAGGGAUUGCCCUAGUAACGGCGAGUGAAGCGGCAACAGCUCAAAUUUGAAAUCUGGC
This 619-nucleotide ribosomal RNA is filed under the name fungal endophyte. RNAcentral describes it as "eukaryotic LSU rRNA". The stretch from base 178 to 331 matches the Rfam family "5.8S ribosomal RNA". The record is from RNAcentral. Lineage: Eukaryota; Fungi.